Molecule: transfer RNA, 79 nt
Filed under: Pomacea canaliculata
Lineage: Eukaryota; Metazoa; Mollusca; Gastropoda; Architaenioglossa; Ampullariidae
Description: tRNA-Asp
Source: RNAcentral
GUCCCGAGACGAGAUCCGAACUCAGACCUCUCGCUGCAAUGGUGACAAGCGAGUGUUUUAACCACUGAACUACUGGGGG